AAUCAAAAUCAUAAUAAAGCUAAAAUAAUGAAGAAAAAUGCAGAGAAGGUAAAACAGGCAGAAAAAUGACUAACAUAAAGGUGUGAAUAACUUGUGCUAGCUUGUUAAGUGUGACCUUUGGUAUCACUAUGAGAAAGUUCUGCUCUGUCCCUGGCAGUGCACUUGGUAGUUGCCACCCUGCAACCUGGCUGCAGCUUGGACUAACAGCAGGGCAGAGGGCAAUGACUAAGCCUGACAAUUGCUUGGAUAGUGAGACAGCACUGUGUAAUGAAUAUUUUAUUCCUAUAAUAUUACUAUUUUCUAUGAAUUAGACAAUUUGGAUUUUUAAUCUAUUAAAACGUUAGCUAUGUUAGCAGUAAAUUUUGAAUGUUUUUGAUGUGUUCCCUUUUGCCCUUAACAAAGUUUUCAAUGUGACAUUAAGUAAAUGGAAACUCACCUUAGGUUACAGAGGCAUACAAGGAAAAAGUACCAAACUAUCUCAAAGUGGUAGCACAGCUUCUUUUUGGAGAAUUGCCAGCCAUUUAUUGAAAGCAAAAAAUGUACUGCUUUUGCAACUCAUUCUACUGUUUCUGAGCUCUUACAUUAUAUUACUCUGCAUAAUACAAUAGAAACUCAUCUCAGUUGGCUUUCAGGUACUACCUAAUGAAAAAAUGUCAGUAACAUAAAUAACUGAUAGCAUCCUCAAAAAUACAGUUGAUAUUGACACACAGAUUUCAUACUUGGUUCAUAUUGAUUGUCUUUUAGUUUUGUACAGGAUUUUCUAUGUUUGGUAUUGCUUCUAAAGCUGCAUCUGCUAGAUUUGUAGGACUGGAGGGGAAGGUCACCUUUAUACAUAAAAAGUACAUUUCUGUCUCUAGUGGUUGCAGGAAAAAAAGCUGAAAAACACGACCCAUGGCCAUCCUACAGGGUACAGGCUACCAUUAGUAUUUAGAGACCCCCAGUUGCAGUAUUUCAGAGGCACACUUACAACAUUGUGAUGACCAUCUACAAUCCGUUAGUGCAAACAAGAUUAUGGACAGAGAACUCAUGCCUCUUAAAUGUGUUUUCUGAGCAUGAGGGACACCCAUGGUGGAAUGACUCAUAUCUGCCUGGAGAUGCAUAUACGAUUAACUACGUGGAGUGUUCCAUAUAUCCUCUCAAACAGAUCAAAGAGAGGAUUGAUUUAGGUACAAGUGGCCCAGAGGGAAGAAACAGCUGAGGUGUAGUACCUCUUUGAAGAAAUAUCACAGACAACAGAAUUAACAUGGGCAACAAGACACGAUUUUUCACUUGUUUCAUUAACAUUGCAGAUAAAAAUAACUAUGCAAUUUUGAUUUUCAGCUCUCAAUCUGAAUUGUUACUGCAGUAUGGAUGGUAUAAAGAAGAUAAAUCAGGUGACCUUGUUCUUCGUCGUAUAAUGGUCAAAAACACACUGUUUAAGCAAAUAAAUACUCAAGUUAAUUGCAUUUUGAAAUUAAUUGUACCAUGUAAGCUAAAGAGAUUGGUAUAAAGCACGCAUAUUAAUUUUGAGAUUCUCUUAAGUCACAUUUGUUUAGCAGACAGGUUUUUUUCACACAGGAUGUGUCCAUUUGCUGCACUAUCUCAAACAAAGAACAACAUCUGAAUUUUUUAGAAGGAAAUAUAAACUCAAUAGGGAACAUUUAUUCCUUUACAAAGUGAUUUGGUUGACUCAUGCCCUGAAGAAUGAUGGCUUGUAUUAGAUAACAGUAAUUAGUUAUAGCAAGUCAUUGUCUUUUAAAAAGAAAUAUCAUUUCUUGCAAGACAGAAACAUCCAAUAAAUAACCAAUCUGAGAGUGGACCUUAAAACAAAUCAAGGUCAAAUCAUGUUAUACGUUUAGAAAACUUAGUUUAUGGAAUACAAGUAAAAGAUUCUAUUUUUUUCUCUUAAAUGAAAAUGUGUAUCAGACAGUAAUGUAGUUCUUGACACAUAAAACUUGGCACCCACAUAAGGAAUGUAUGUCACAGACAGAUUGGAUGUUCCAUUGUACUGCCACUCCCAUUCCACUGGUUGCAGCAUUCAAUUUUUAUGUUCAAAUGUCAUUAUGAAACAGCUAUUUGUUUUGAGAAAUUACUAACGAUGGGCGUAU
Molecule: long non-coding RNA, 2087 nt
Organism: Lagopus leucura (white-tailed ptarmigan)
Lineage: Eukaryota; Metazoa; Chordata; Aves; Galliformes; Phasianidae
Exons: 3
Source: RefSeq, a predicted model, not a curated record